CUUCUGCCUGUAUCAGGAGGCCUUUCGUGCCAGACUCCGGCUUCCUCUUUCGCCUUUUGUCAUUACUCUUUUUUGAUUUCUGGAUAUUUCUCUGGCUUCGGUUGCACCAAACUCCUUUAGGUUUUUGAUAGGGUUCCUCUCUCUUUAUCAUGUAGUCGAAGUCCAGCCCACCCUUUCCUUGUUUAGAUACUUCUACACCUUCAAGCAUCAUCCCAUGAUGAAGGAUUGGUGGUACUUCUCCCCACAGUUCGGUAGGAAGGGGUUGCUGAAAGGUGCCCCUUCUUCUAUCCAUAACUGGAAGGGG
Molecule: long non-coding RNA, 304 nt
Filed under: Elaeis guineensis (African oil palm)
Lineage: Eukaryota; Viridiplantae; Streptophyta; Magnoliopsida; Arecales; Arecaceae
Description: long non-coding RNA (EGUI_LNC081365)
Source: RNAcentral